CCCCCCACACACACAUCCUCCUCUCCCCACCUUUUCCACACAUAAACAUACAUACUACACACACACCUCACUCUCAUCCCACAGCCAAUAAGGGCCUGAUGAGCUCAAGUAUCACUAUAACACAAGGACUUAUUCUCUGAGCGGACCCGGCAGAUUCUUACAGACGUUCAUCUUCUUGAUCGAAGGAGCUUCUCUUCCUCUCUGAGGUGUGAAGUCUGCUGUCACCAUGUCUGACACUGAGGAAGUGGAUCAGCUCGAGGGUAAGUGACAACCACUUUUA
This is a long non-coding RNA of Dicentrarchus labrax (European seabass), 280 nucleotides long. RefSeq lists it as uncharacterized. NCBI's taxonomy places the organism in Eukaryota, Metazoa, Chordata, Actinopteri, Moronidae. The transcript has 3 exons. The record is from RefSeq and is a predicted model, not a curated record.